This is a long non-coding RNA of Arabidopsis lyrata subsp. lyrata, 434 nucleotides long. RefSeq lists it as uncharacterized. The record is from RefSeq and is a predicted model, not a curated record. NCBI's taxonomy places the organism in Eukaryota, Viridiplantae, Streptophyta, Magnoliopsida, Brassicales, Brassicaceae. The transcript is spliced from 2 exons.
UACCAUUCUAAUCCCUUAUAUAAAGGGAGAUGCCAUUUGCUCUAAACCUAAAAAGAAAAAGAAAACAAAAAACAAUCUUCACCUAAAAAGAGUUAGAGAGCUAACAAUGUCUGCACAAAAAUUUCAAUUUCAACUUGCUUUUCUGCUCUUAACUAUUUGUCUUCUUUCUUCUCAAUUACUUGCUAAACCAAUUGGGAAAUGUCACUACAAAGGUCCUUGUGAAACUGAUAAUGACUGCAAAACAUUAUGCACAGGCCCAGAUGAAGAUCCUACAUUUCUAAUGUGCAUUAAAAACCCUCCAAUUAAUCACAAAUGUUGUUGUGUACCACCUAUCAACUAAAGAAAAUUGGUUUUGUUCUACAAUGAUACAUCCAUAGACUUGUAUCAUCACCUAUUAUAAGAUUUAAAAUUAAUAAACAAAAAGAUUUGGAUCA